CUGGACAAAGACUGACGCUCAGGUGCGAAAGCGUGGGGAGUAAACAGGAUUAGAUACCCUGGUAGUCCACGCUGUAAACGAUGUCGAUUUGAAGGUUGUUCCCUUGAGGAGUGGCUUUCGGAGCUAACGCGUUAAAUCGACCGCCUGGGGAGUACGGCCGCAAGGUUAAAACUCAAAUGAAUUGACGGGGGCCCGCACAAGCGGUGGAGCAUGUGGUUUAAUUCGAUGCAACGCGAAGAACCUUACCUACUCUUGACAUCCAGAGAACUUAGCAGAGAUGCUUUGGUGCCUUCGGGAACUCUGAGACAGGUGCUGCAUGGCUGUCGUCAGCUCGUGUUGUGAAAUGUUGGGUUAAGUCCCGCAACGAGCGCAACCCUUAUCCUUUGUUGCCAGCGAUUCGGUCGGGAACUCAAAGGAGACUGCCGGUGAUAAACCGGAGGAAGGUGGGGAUGACGUCAAGUCAUCAUGGCCCUUACGAGUAGGGCUACACACGUGCUACAAUGGCGUAUACAAAGAGAAGCGACCUCGCGAGAGCAAGCGGAACUCAUAAAGUACGUCGUAGUCCGGAUUGGAGUCUGCAACUCGACUCCAUGAAGUCGGAAUCGCUAGUAAUCGUAGAUCAGAAUGCUACGGUGAAUACGUUCCCGGGCCUUGUACACACCGCCCGUCACACCAUGGGAGUGGGUUGCAAAAGAAGUAGGUAGCUUAACCUUCGGGAGGGCGCUUACCACUUUGUGAUUCAUGACUGGGGUGAAGUCGUA
RNAcentral lists this ribosomal RNA (761 nucleotides) under uncultured bacterium. RNAcentral's name for it is "bacterial SSU rRNA". It matches the Rfam family "Bacterial small subunit ribosomal RNA", at positions 729 to 1490 of the family's 1533-position model. The record is from RNAcentral.